GGAGAGCACAGGGGUCAGAUCUCGAGGGGCCUUGAAACCACGCAAGGGGGUUGGCCUUUAAUGCUGCUGGCCAUCAGGAGCCACCAAAAGGUUUUAAGCUGGGAAGAACGCGAUCAGAGUCGCGUUUACGUUGGGUCACUGCAUCCUGGUGUGGAUUUGCGGUGAUUUGAGACCGGAGGACGGUCUCAGUAGGGACAGUGGCCUGGGAUCGGGCAGCUGCAAUAGAAACGGAGUAAAAGGCCUGAGAAGCAAGGGCGAAAAAGAGAGAAGCAUCUUGGAAGACUUCUCACUGUGGAGAUUCCUGAAGAUGGUGUACUGAUGGUUCUGUCGGCUGAACGCCACUAGAAACUCUACUGACUCAGGCUUUCUGACUGUUGGAAUGGUUUUAGAUGGUCAUCCCAGAGAAUGAAGGCAUGCAUGACUCACAUGAAGCACUGGUUAUUAAAGACAAGAGCACGGGCUCUAGGCGCGUGGACUUCAGUAGUUGUGGUGCACGGGCUCAGUUGCUCUGCGGCAUGUGGGAUCUUCCUGGACCAGGGCUCGAACCCAUGUCCCCUGCAUUGGCAGGCGGAUUCUUAACCACUGCACCACCAGGGAAGCCCAUCAUUUAAAAAAAAAACUAUACUUACCAACUUACAUUUGAAGUCCAAAGCCAGCAUUUGCUCAUUCUGAGGUGGGACUGGUGAACAUCCAUAAGUGACAUGGCUAUUUGGGAGUACUUUUGGUUGGGACACUGAAGCCAGAGCUCCAGAGGGUGGCUGAAACAGAAUAUCCCCCUGCUAAACAGGCCAGUGAGAAGAAUUCCUCACUAUCAAAUUCUCAUCAACAAGUCUGACAGAAUUUGCGUCUCCUAAACCUACAUUUCCAAGGAGGUCAUAACAAUAUUUAUGGAAUAUGAGGCACAGAAUCUUAAGUUAAAAAAUAUUUUUCCAGGUCUUAUUUACACUGAACUCAAAUUAACUGUCAAAUAAGAAUACUGACAUAAGUAAGGUAUUUAUUGCUAAGUUGAAAACCUUCUUUACCAAAUAUGAUGGAACCAAAGAUACAAUGAAGCCGUGGCUAAGAAAACUCACCCCCUGUGAUUAAAUUUUAUUGAGUAUGAACAAUUUUUUUCUUGAUGUACAGACUCAAUUGUACUUUUCUACCCAACUGGAUAAAUAAAAGCUAAAAUAUAAUUUAUUUAACUCUUUUUGGAAAUAAAACUUCAACAUACCUUAAA
Long non-coding RNA from Balaenoptera ricei (Rice's whale), 1219 nucleotides. RefSeq lists it as uncharacterized. NCBI's taxonomy places the organism in Eukaryota, Metazoa, Chordata, Mammalia, Artiodactyla, Balaenopteridae. The transcript has 7 exons. The record is from RefSeq and is a predicted model, not a curated record.